Molecule: ribosomal RNA, 497 nt
Filed under: uncultured bacterium
Lineage: Bacteria
Description: partial 16S ribosomal RNA
Rfam family: Bacterial small subunit ribosomal RNA
Source: RNAcentral
GAUGAACGCUGGCGGCGUGCCUAAUACAUGCAAGUCGAGCGAACAGACGAGGAGCUUGCUCCUCUGACGUUAGCGGCGGACGGGUGAGUAACACGUGGAUAACCUACCUAUAAGACUGGGAUAACUUCGGGAAACCGGAUCUAAUACCGGAUAAUAUAUUGAACCGCAUGGUUCAAUAGUGAAAGACGGUUUUGCUGUCACUUAUAGAUGGAUCCGCGCCGCAUUAGCUAGUUGGUAAGGUAACGGCUUACCAAGGCGACGAUGCGUAGCCGACCUGAGAGGGUGAUCGGCCACACUGGAACUGAGACACGGUCCAGACUCCUACGGGAGGCAGCAGUAGGGAAUAUUCGGCAAUGGGCGAAAGCCUGACGGAGCAACGCCGCGUGAGUGAUGAAGGUCUUCGGAUCGUAAAACUCUGUUAUUAGGGAAGAACAAAUGUGUAAGUAACUAUGCACGUCUUGACGGUACCUAAUCAGAAAGCCACGGCUAACUACGUG